Paralichthys olivaceus (Japanese flounder) is the source of this 1360-nucleotide non-coding RNA. Lineage: Eukaryota; Metazoa; Chordata; Actinopteri; Pleuronectiformes; Paralichthyidae. The record is from RefSeq and is a predicted model, not a curated record.
CGCACUGUGCACGGUGGAGCGGGAGCUCCAGGUACCGGAGCGGCCACUGAGCGGCGCCGCAGCCCGCAACUUCCACCGCCUGACAUCCGCCGCUUCCUCCCCGCUGCACGCUGCAGGCGAACCCGCUCCCUCGCUGCCCGUGUCGGGUUACAGUCACAAGGCCACCCACCUCCCCCCUCCUCCCGGGCUGAAGCACGACUUUUAGGGAGAUAAUAUUACAGGGUUUUGUUGAGGGUUCCGCUGAGAAAGCCCGAUGCAAAGUGGGCCUACAGCCAACUGGGAUGGAUUCUAGGGUGGAACCUAAACAGAUGGGAGAUGGUAAAAAGGCUCACAGCUGAUCCACCCCCUGGUACACCAUUGAGACAGAGGAGGUUAAAGCACUCUGAGCGCAUGGAACCAUAUUGCAGAUGCGCAGAGGCUGUAAUGAAGAGCUCUUGAACCCGCAGUCAGAGAAGCUGUGACAGGAGUUCACGAGGAUUCCUCUUUGGUUCUGCUGGACGUACGACACACACACACACACACACACACACACACACUCUGUCACAUACACAGCCUAAGAGAGCAACUAACAGCUAAUACAAGAAUCAAAAUGAAGCCAUCACUCAUUCAUUGUUUCACAACUCACUAGCUUUUCAUUUGAAGUGUCCAGUCUUCCAACUGAUGCAGGAAAAAAAUAUCCACAAUCUUCCCUCCACCUCCUCUUUUAUUUUCUGUUUUCCUACCUACAUCAUUUAUUUUUGUACACAUGAAAGUACAGGAUAGAAACCUUUUAUGAGAAACAUCCUCAUCGUAGCAUAACUUGCGCCCUGUAUUUCCAGCCCUCUGAGCUUUGCUAUCAAUGCUGUGAUACUGCAGUGCAUCUUGGGGCAGCUGCAUUUUAUUUGGAGUUUUUCUGCCUUCAGGCCCUGAAUUGAAAUGGAGGAGCAAAUGGCUGGAAUGGCAAGUGUACCAUUCCUCGCUCUCUGCAGUCUCCCAACACAAACUGGUCAAGCAGAAAUGAGACCUGCAUCAAUUUUAAUUUGUAUUUAUCCUGCUGAUGACCCGGCUCCUUUCACUCUGCCUUCGGAGGCACAAAUUACACCCAUCAUGGCUCUGAUUCCAACAUCCCACGGUGUGCUAUCAGAAAAUUAACAUGGUUAUAUACCACCGGCGGGUUCAAGGUGUCACAACACAAUUAUACAAUCAUGCAACCUGACGAGCUCUGACUUGUCGCUGGUGUAUGACAACUAAGCUGGAGGGCUACACUGUCUGUCACAUCCAGGCGGGUAAGAUAAGUUCACUGGGGAGCAAAAUGUGCCUCAGUGUCUGCUUCUCUCUAUCUGAAUCUGUUAAAUAUCACGACUGCUGCAGUGACUUUUUU